RNAcentral lists this transfer RNA (71 nucleotides) under Neuroctenus yunnanensis. RNAcentral's name for it is "tRNA-Asp". Lineage: Eukaryota; Metazoa; Arthropoda; Insecta; Hemiptera; Aradidae. The record is from RNAcentral.
AGAGCGUUAGUUUAACUUAAAACACAACCUUGUCAAGGUUGAAAUGUGACCAAUACAAUUAACACCCUCUA